This 253-nucleotide ribosomal RNA is filed under the name uncultured bacterium. Its description in RNAcentral is "partial 16S ribosomal RNA". It matches the Rfam family "Bacterial small subunit ribosomal RNA", at positions 524 to 776 of the family's 1533-position model. The record is from RNAcentral.
UACGUAGGCAGCAAGCGUUGUUCGGAAUUACUGGGCGUAAAGGGUGCGUAGGCGGUUUGACAAGUCUGAUGUGAAAUCUAUGGGCUCAACCCAUAGUCUGCAUCGGAAACUGUCGGGCUGGAGUAUGGGAGAGGUGAGUGGAAUUUCCGGUGUAGCGGUGAAAUGCGUAGAUAUCGGAAGGAACACCUGUGGCGAAAGCGGCUCACUGGACCAUCACUGACGCUGAGGCACGAAAGCUAGGGGAGCAAACAGG